RNA transcript from Oncorhynchus nerka (sockeye salmon), 1216 nucleotides. It is a transcript of the gene named transcription initiation factor TFIID subunit 9-like, with no coding region annotated. The record is from RefSeq and is a predicted model, not a curated record. NCBI's taxonomy places the organism in Eukaryota, Metazoa, Chordata, Actinopteri, Salmoniformes, Salmonidae. The transcript is spliced from 8 exons.
AUUUUAGUGCGGAAGUGGAUGCGCGGGAAAGGAACAAACGUGAAAAUGGCUACUCCGAAAACUGUUCCUAAAGAUGCACAGGUUAUGAUUCAAAUCCUCAAAGACAUGGGGAUAACAGAGUAUGAGCCCAGAGUGAUUAAUCAAAUGCUGGAAUUUACCUACAGAUAUGUGACAACCAUUAUCGAGGAUGCCAAAAUCUAUGCAACACAUGCUAAGAAGAACAAUGUGGAUGCUGACGAUAUAAGACUGGCGAUUCAGAGUCGCAUGGACCAGUCCUUCACCUCCCCACCACCACGAGAUUUCCUGCUGGAGGUAGCUAGGCAGAAGAACCAGACCCCGCUGCCUUUGAUUAAGCCAUACACUGGGCCCCGCCUGCCCCCAGACCGUUACUGUCUAACAGCUCCUAACUACAGGCUCAAAUCCAUACAGAAAAAGAUGUCCUCAUCCGCGGGGAGAAUUACAGUGCCUCGUCUCAGUGUAGCAGCUGUAUCCAGCAGGUCCAGCACACCUACCUUUGGCACUCCCUCAGUUCAGUCAGUCACUACCAAAGUGGGGACGCCAAUGUCUCUGUCGGGGCAGCGCUUCACCGUUCAGAUCCCAUCCUCACAGACUGUAGCCUCCAAGUCCUGCUUCCAUGUCUUCUCCAUGGAUGACCUCAAUGUCCACCUCUUGAACAUCAGACUCUGAGGCCUCAUCUUCACUGUCACUUUCCAACCUGGUUGAGGAUGGCUCGUUGUCAGGCUCAAAAAGCCUCAAAUUUGCCCGGAUGGCCACCAAUUUUUCAACCCUGUUCAUUCCGUAACGUGCUUUGGUGUGUGUGUUCCCAUACAAGGACCAGUUGCUCUCUGAGGCAGCUUAAUGUUGGUGGGAUUUGGAAAAUGGAGGCAACAGGGAAAGAGCCUCAGAUCCACAAAGUCUCUUCCAUCAGGUGGCUGAUGAGAUGUUGCCACGACUGCCAUAUUGCAUUUCCAUCCCAAAGCCCUUGCUUGGAAGUGUACUUUGCAGACUGCCAAGAACCUUGCCCUCAUCCAAGCCAAGGUGGCGAGACACGGUAGUGAUGAUACCACAGGCCUUGUUGAUCUCUACACCAGACAGGAUGCUCUUGCCAGCAUACUUGGGGUCCAACAUCCACACCAUCCACCCCAACGGUUCAAAACGUCCUAAUCAAUCCCUCCCUGAUCGGCUCUAAGAACAUCCUCAUCACCACCAACAUGGU